GCCCCCAUAGUUAAGUGGAUAUAACAAGGCUUUCCUAAAGCCUAGUCACAGGUUCGAGUCCUGUUGGGGGUA
RNAcentral lists this transfer RNA (72 nucleotides) under Planctomycetales bacterium. Its description in RNAcentral is "tRNA-Arg". It matches the Rfam family "tRNA". From Rfam's summary of the family: Transfer RNA (tRNA) molecules are approximately 80 nucleotides in length. Their secondary structure includes four short double-helical elements and three loops (D, anti-codon, and T loops). The record is from RNAcentral. Lineage: Bacteria; Pseudomonadati; Planctomycetota; Planctomycetia; Planctomycetales.